Long non-coding RNA from Engraulis encrasicolus (European anchovy), 1237 nucleotides. RefSeq lists it as uncharacterized. NCBI's taxonomy places the organism in Eukaryota, Metazoa, Chordata, Actinopteri, Clupeiformes, Engraulidae. The transcript is spliced from 3 exons. The record is from RefSeq and is a predicted model, not a curated record.
AUGGUGCAUUUUACGGAAUAAAGACAAGUCAUGUAAUGGUAAUUGCAGUGUAUACACACUUUUACAAACUACAAAUUACAUAAUUGUAUUCCCUUCACAGGGAGUGUUCCAAAGACUUCUGAAAUGGGAACCAUGCCCAGAAUGCGGGAAGGAUUUCGCUCCAACCUGGCAGACAGUUUAAGUGACCUCAAAGCUCCCCAGCACUCGCCAUGAAGGGAGGCACCAUGACGCUGGCCUGAUUAUCAUCGACAUUCAAAUCUAUUUCCAGAAUUCAUGCUGCCCUUUCACUAAUGUUACCUUUUUCAUGAGUACACAACCACCAUCAAAUUCUAAGUAUUCAUUAUGACUGGAAAAAUUGCACUUUUCAUACAUGAAAAAGGGAUCUUCAACAUAGUCCGCCAUUUUGAAUUUCCAAAAAUAGCCACUUUCAGCUGCAAAAAUGACUGCACUCGGACCAUACUAGAAAAUAUUUGUUUAUUACUUAGUACACUUUCAUGUAAAGACCAAAUUUGGCAAUAUGCAGCCCAGUUUCAAUGAGCAGCAUAGUUGCAGUACCUUUUUUGACCAUUUCCUGCACAGUGUCCCUUUAACAUUUACCAAGUACUUUACUCCAGACCUGAUUCACAAGGAGGGCUCAGUCUGGCUACCGUGAGGCACAUUUUAGUUGUUUUUGUGUUGAUUUCUUUUGUUUUUAUUACUAUCAUUAUAGUGUUAUUAUUAUUAUUAUUCAAAGCUUAUUUGUUUUUUUGUGUGUGAUUUUUUUAAACAAUGCACCUGCCCCCCAAAAUCUGUGCACGCGCAUGUGUGUGUGUGUGUGUGUGUGUGUGUGUGUGUGUGUGUGUGUGUGUGUGUGUGUGUGUGUGUGUGUGUGUGUGUGUAAGGCACAUUUUAGUUGUUUUUGUGUUGAUUUCUUUUGUUUUUAUUACUAUCAUUAUAGUGUUAUUAUUAUUAUUAUUCAAAGCUUAUUUGUUUUUUUGUGUGUGUUUUUUUUAAACAAUGCACCUGCCCCCCAAAAUCUGUGCACGCGCAUGUGUGUGUGUGUGUGUGUGUGUGUGUGUGUGUGUGUGUGUGUCAAGUCAAGUCAAGUCAAGUCAAGUCAAGUUUAUUGUCAAUUUCUUUACAUGCACUGGUCAUACAAAGAAUUUGAAAUUGCGUUUCUUGCUCUCCCAUGCAGACAUAGACUAAUCUAGGUAAGGACAUAGACAGUAUAGACAUAGACAGUACUCAUACAUGGACA